RNAcentral lists this transfer RNA (73 nucleotides) under Cordyceps fumosorosea ARSEF 2679. Its description in RNAcentral is "Isaria fumosorosea ARSEF 2679 tRNA". It matches the Rfam family "tRNA". From Rfam's summary of the family: Transfer RNA (tRNA) molecules are approximately 80 nucleotides in length. Lineage: Eukaryota; Fungi; Ascomycota; Sordariomycetes; Hypocreales; Cordycipitaceae. The record is from Rfam by way of RNAcentral.
UCUUCCGUAGUAUAGUGGUCAGUAUUGCAAGCUUGUCACGCUUGAGACCCGGGUUCAAUUCCCGGCGGGAGAG